Molecule: long non-coding RNA, 698 nt
Organism: Esox lucius (northern pike)
Lineage: Eukaryota; Metazoa; Chordata; Actinopteri; Esociformes; Esocidae
Source: Ensembl
GGAGGAAGCGCUCCCGUUCCAGGCACAGAAGCAGACCCUCUCAGAGGUCACUGCCCAAGGUUAGCGAGUCCCGUGGCUCUCGGGGCGUCCACAAGAGAUCUACCCGCUCCACAGACAGACGGAGGAGCCGCAGCGGCUCCCGAUCAAGGGAUAGGCGUAAAGACAGGGAGGAGAAAAGAAGAGCCAAGGACGACGUCUCCCGGGUCAUCAAGGAGGAUCGGAGGCAAAGGGGGAAGAAGGGCAAAACCCCUCCCAAAAGCUACAGUACGUUCCGAAGGUCCCGGAGCACGAGCAGGGGCCACAGAAGGAAGAGCCGGGAUAGCUCCAGGAGUCCGAGGAGGAAAGCCAGGUCUCCCUCACCUAAGAGAGUAAAAGACAAGAAGAGGGAGAAAGCAAGGGAUAGCAGCAGGGAAAGAAGAGACCGAUCCACCUCCAGGAAGAGGAGCAGCAGAGAUAAAGAGAAGAUGGAGCGCAAGCCUGUCAAGUCUGUCAAGGUGGACAGGGACUGCGACAAGGAGAAAGGGGACUACGAGAGUGACAGGGAAGGUUCACCAACACUAAGUGAGGGCGUGACAUCACUCUGCGCCCAGCACAAUGGCAGCUGCAACACACAAACAGAGGAUGAUGUGACUUCACUCACCGACAGCACUGAGUGAUGGCUGGGAAGCAAGGCAAAACUAUGGGAGCAAGACAGUCCA